GCUAACUGCUGCCUUGAAUUCCUGGGGUGAAGAGAUCCUCCUGCCUCAGCCUCUGAAGUAGCUGGGACUACCAGCGUGCACCAUCACACUCAGCUAAAGGCCAUUAAUUUCUGCCUGCUGAAGCUGUGAGAAAGCUCAGACUUCCAUCCCUACAUUGUUGAGAACUGGCAAUGUUACAAAGAAGAAACCCCUCAAGACUAUCCGACCAAACAUUUCGUCUCUGAGAAAUGUUCACUCACCCCAGGGUGUGGAACUGAA
This 258-nucleotide long non-coding RNA is filed under the name Homo sapiens (human). RNAcentral's name for it is "non-protein coding lnc-OPRK1-1:1". The record is from RNAcentral. Lineage: Eukaryota; Metazoa; Chordata; Mammalia; Primates; Hominidae.